ACUGCUGCUACUGUCGCGUCGAGGAGGGCAGAGCCGUCGCGGCGUCGCUGCUGCUGUCGUGGUGGGCUGGGAGAUGGCAGUCGGAUGAGCAAGCUCGAUCCAGAUGAGCAGAGUGAACGGAGAUGACAGUGGGCGACGGUAGAAAGGUGUCUGGUGGCGAGAAGAAACGGCAGGAAUGGUGGAUGGAGGUCGUGCUGCUCGUGCAGCGCAGAAUCGCACUGAACCGUGCGUGCUGCACUACUGCUGCUGUUAAGCUGUCCGGACCUUCGCCGGAAAGGCCGAGCCGCCGUCGCGUCGAGUGCCGGAGUGCGUGUCACCGGCCAGCCGAGAGAGAGAGAGAUGAGAGAUUGGGGGUGGGCGGCGCCAGCAGCUGGUGUGAGUUAGG
This 385-nucleotide long non-coding RNA is filed under the name Salvia miltiorrhiza (redroot sage). RNAcentral describes it as "long non-coding RNA (SMIL_LNC007656)". The record is from RNAcentral. Lineage: Eukaryota; Viridiplantae; Streptophyta; Magnoliopsida; Lamiales; Lamiaceae.